Molecule: ribosomal RNA, 523 nt
Filed under: Myrmeleon inconspicuus
Lineage: Eukaryota; Metazoa; Arthropoda; Insecta; Neuroptera; Myrmeleontidae
Description: bacterial SSU rRNA
Rfam family: Eukaryotic small subunit ribosomal RNA
Source: RNAcentral
GAUGCCAGCUAGCGAUCCGCCAAAGUUCCUCCGAUGACUUGGUGGGCAGCUUCCGGGAAACCAAAGCAUUUGGGUUCCGGGGGAAGUAUGGUUGCAAAGCUGAAACUUAAAGGAAUUGACGGAAGGGCACCACCAGGAGUGGAGCCUGCGGCUUAAUUUGACUCAACACGGGAAACCUCACCAGGCCCGGACACCGGAAGGAUUGACAGAUUGAGAGCUCUUUCUUGAUUCGGUGGGUGGUGGUGCAUGGCCGUUCUUAGUUGGUGGAGCGAUUUGUCUGGUUAAUUCCGAUAACGAACGAGACUCUAGCCUACUAAAUAGACGUACUUUAUUACCGGCAUCUCAAGGCCCAUCGGCUGUAUUGUUACUGAAUGUUAUUUGUAUAUUUUGUUUCUUAUAUAUAUUUAUAAUAUGUAUGAUUGAUAAUAUAAAUAUUAUUUUAUUUAAUUCUCCACCGUGUGUAUAUAUGUAUUUUUUAUAUGUAUAUGUGUGUGUGUGGUGGAAUUUGUAUUUUUUAUAUAUG